RNAcentral lists this ribosomal RNA (305 nucleotides) under uncultured bacterium. Its description in RNAcentral is "partial 16S ribosomal RNA". It matches the Rfam family "Bacterial small subunit ribosomal RNA", at positions 508 to 807 of the family's 1533-position model. The record is from RNAcentral.
ACAGCAGUCGCCGCGGUAAUACAGAGGGUGCGAGCGUUAAUCGGAUUUACUGGGCGUAAAGCGUGCGUAGGCGGCUAAUUGAGUCGGAUGUGAAAUCCCCGAGCUUAACUUGGGAAUUGCAUUCGAUACUGGGAAGCUAGAGUAUGGGAGAGGAUGGUAGAAUUCCAGGUGUAGCGGUGAAAUGCGUAGAGAUCUGGAGGAAUACCGAUGGCGAAGGCAGCCAUCUGGCCUAAUACUGACGCUGAGGUACGAAAGCAUGGGGAGCAAACAGGAUUAGAUACCCGUGUAGUCCCUGUCUCUUAUAC